UAAAUUAUUUAUUCAUAACAAUCAAUAUGGCACAUAUUUGAUAAAAUAUUUGGUCAGUGCAAAACAGACAUACACAGCAGGGAUAUUAUUCAAAUUAAAAAUAAAAUAUUAUAAAAUGUAUAUGACAUAUUAUAAAACUAUACAAAACCGUCAAUAUGUAACAGUAUAAAGUAUAUAAUUGUUCUUAAUUUAAUGCCCCAAAUUGUUAUUCAAAACAUUUUCUUGGGUUUAUAUUAUGCAUGAAAUAUUAAUUUAGACAUUGCUUGCAACUUCUUGAUUAAACUGCAUUUCCCCACAUCCCCUUGUGAGAAAUCUGAAGUAGGUUUGGUUAUAUCUGUGUUUGUCAUAGCUCUAAAUGCAUUUUAUACAAAACAGAAGAGGCAAGUAACGCACAAAAAAGGGCCAGGGACUUUAAAUAUAUCACAGAGGUUUCACUACCACACAGUUACUGUUACGGAUUGUGAUAGGUUACCACUAUGUGUAGUUGGUGACGUCACAACAAUUUACUUCCCGCUCUUUACGAUUAAAAGGCUGCUACACGUAAUACAUUUCGGCAUCAUGUGGAGUAGUGGUUACGCGACUGGACUUAAGGCUGGCAGGUACUGGGUUCGCAUUCUGGUACCGGCUGUCACCCAGAUCGAGUUCAACGACUCCAUGAGUAGGUGUAAGGCUAGUGCAUCGAUGUCUCUCCCACUAACCACUAACCCCCUGGCCUGGACAGACAGCCCAGAUAGCUGAGGUGUGCGCCCGGGACAGUGCUUGAACCGUAAGUGGAUAUAAGCACGAAACAGUAUAAACAAAUAAUAAAUUUCGUGGCUAAUUUAUAAUUUUAAAAAUAAUAAUUAAAUAAUACUUCUGAGAAUGCCGCCAUCUCCAAGUCACAAACCGUGCCAAUCUACGAAACGGGCCAAACCAUUAGUACCGUCACCACAUCAUUUUGGGAUGAACUUCACGAAGCCUGAUUAAACGCCUGUGGUUAAACAUUGUAAAUGUAUGUAGUUACUCGCGUGUAAGACAUACACAGACUUUGAAAAUUCGGCCCAUUAUGAUUAGCUACCAGCAUAGGGCGUACGGGCUUCAUGAAAUGAAGGGGGGGGGGGGGGGGGAUUUCGUGAAAUUUAUUUGUGAUAAUACACAUAAAGGUAUAUAGCAUAUACAUGUAUGUAUGUAAUCACAAAUACAUUUUACAAAAAUAAAUUUCGUAUUUUACUUUUAAUGUCAGAUAUUGUGUCGCCAGGGUGUCAUUUCAAACGCUCAGACACUUAACACUUAAUUAUUAAUUAUCUAUGAAUAGGUAUUCCUCCAGUUCUUCCCCAUUCAUCCGCGACCAUAUACAAUGGAACAGUUUUUGACAGGGCGAAGUCAAGCUGAUCAAAGCGAAGUUUUGGCACACUUUGCCCUGUGGCGUGAGCAUAUAUAAUAUAUGUUGCAUGGAGCUACCAAGUGGCCCUGUUUCUGGUUUUAACAGACACUAGGACACACCCAUCACAUAAGAAAUGAAUAUUCUCGAUCGAAAAAAUACAAGAAACUAAGUUUCAACUGAACCUACCAUAGGAGUAAGUAGCUUGAAAGAGAAACAAAAGCAUCAAAGUACAACCAGCACAUGUUUAAUGAAGCACUUGGCGAUUAAAAAAAAUAUUCAAAGAAACCGAACCCUCCCCCCCCCCCCCCACACACACACAAAACAUCUCAGAUCCAACCCGCCCCCCCCCCCC
This is a long non-coding RNA of Gigantopelta aegis, 1715 nucleotides long. RefSeq lists it as uncharacterized. Lineage: Eukaryota; Metazoa; Mollusca; Gastropoda; Neomphalida; Peltospiridae. The transcript is spliced from 2 exons. The record is from RefSeq and is a predicted model, not a curated record.